RNAcentral lists this long non-coding RNA (746 nucleotides) under Marmota monax (woodchuck). The record is from RNAcentral. Lineage: Eukaryota; Metazoa; Chordata; Mammalia; Rodentia; Sciuridae.
CAACCCUCAAAAAUUUCUAUAUAAUAACAAUGAUACAGUCCAAAAAAAUUAAAUAACAUAAAUAAGUGGAAACACAUAUUUACGGAUUGAAAAACAUAACAUUGUUAAGAUACUACCCAAAGCAAUUUAUAAAUUUCAUCCCUUUCAAAAUCCCAAUGACUUUUUUGUAGAAGCAGAAAGAUUUAUCCUAAAAUCCAUAUGGAAUCUCAAGGGAUCCCAAAUAGCCAAAAAAAUCUUGAAAAAAGAUAAAAUUGGAAGUCUCACACUUCCUUAUUUCAAAACUUGAAAGAAUGAAAAAGGUUCGUUGUUGGAGAAAAUACCCAUUUAUUGAGGAACAGCUCUGCAUAUUUAUAGAGCUGGGGGUGAUUUGACAGUUAUGACAGUUUAAUGGUUGAACGGUUCUCAACAGUUGGUAUGGGGUGCUUUCUGAUUGGUGGGUAAGGAUCAUGUGAGCCAGCAGGGCUAGUCUGAUUGGUGGGUAAGGAUCAUGUGAGCCAGCAGGGCUAGUCUGAUUGGUGGGUAAGGAUCAUGUGAGCCAGCAGGGCUCACCAUUGGAUGGCGCUUCUCGGGGGAUGGGGAAGUUAGUCUUUGGAGCCAGGGCGACUCUCAAUUUAUAACAAAGCUAUGGUAAUCCACGUAGACAAACUUAUAGACCAGUGGAAUAGAAGAGCCCAGGAAUAAGCCUUUUCAUGUAUAGUCAAAUGUUUUUCAAAAAGGGUGGUAAAAUCAUUCAAUGGGAAAAGGAC